AUGUUAACGAAUUAAAACAUGUUGUUAUCCAAAAAAGAUAUGUUGAAAACCCGAAACAGCGUUUAUUGUAGUGUAUUAUCAUUUAUUGCACAUUGUAACUAAAACAUCUGUUUGUUAAAAAUUUGUAGCUACGAUAUGCGGCCGGGACGAAAGACAUGUUGGAGAGGUACUUUAAGGGAGAAGACUUCCCUGCUCAGAAUUACAUUGUCAAGGACGGUGAACUUGCUCCUCAGUACCGGUAAGCUUUUGAGGAGGUGAGAUUGGGAAGAUGAUGAGAAACGACCUCAACGUUCAAGAAAACAAAUAAAAAAGUAUUUCGACUUUGCUAAGUCGAAUAACUUGGCCAUCUUUUCGUUUAGUUUUUGUUAUUUCAUAAGCAGA
Molecule: long non-coding RNA, 381 nt
Filed under: Arabidopsis lyrata
Lineage: Eukaryota; Viridiplantae; Streptophyta; Magnoliopsida; Brassicales; Brassicaceae
Description: long non-coding RNA (ALYR_LNC001211)
Source: RNAcentral